AGACAAGUAAGCUAAACUCAAGCUUACGGGCUCAUACCCCGUUUAUAGGGGAAAUCCUCUCUUUUCUA
This 68-nucleotide transfer RNA is filed under the name Margattea concava. RNAcentral describes it as "tRNA-Met". The record is from RNAcentral. Lineage: Eukaryota; Metazoa; Arthropoda; Insecta; Blattodea; Pseudophyllodromiidae.